Molecule: non-coding RNA, 432 nt
Organism: Dermatophagoides farinae (American house dust mite)
Lineage: Eukaryota; Metazoa; Arthropoda; Arachnida; Sarcoptiformes; Pyroglyphidae
Source: RefSeq, a predicted model, not a curated record
AUUUAUUUAUUUUUUUUGUGUAUGGACAAAAAAUCCAAGAUCGAUAAUAAUCUAUUUUAGUGUGAAAUGAAAAGUUAUUUGGCAAAAAAAUUUUUCGUUAUUGCUAAAUUUCCUUGAUGAAAAUUUGAAAUCUAUUUCCUGAUCAAUGAUCCAUUAUCCAUUAUUAUUAUCAAAAAUAGUGAACACAUGGUAUGUCUUGUUACCAUUUUAAUCAUCAUCAUCAUCAUCAUCAGCAUUUUUUUUUUUGAGACAAUUAUCUCUCUAAUGAAUGAGAAUUGUAAAAUGUACAAAUCCGGUUCCAUCACCACCAUCACCAUCACCAUCAACAACAAUAAACAAUAAACAACUCACAUAUCGCGAAAUAAAGGACAUUCCGAUCCAAUCCAACAACAACUCUAUAAACACCGGAUAGUACACAAAUACAGCCAACAA